AACGAACGCUGGCGGCAUGCCUAACACAUGCCAGUCGAACGAGACCUUCGGGUCUAGUGGUGCACGGGUGCGUAACGCGUGGGAAUCUGCCCUUGGGUUCGGAAUAACAGUUGGAAACGACUGCUAAUACCGGAUGAUGACGUAAGUCCAAAGAUUUAUCGCCCAAGGAUGAGCCCGCGUAGGAUUAGCUAGUUGGUGAGGUAAAGGCUCACCAAGGCGACGAUCCUUAGCUGGUCUGAGAGGAUGAUCAGCCACACUGGGACUGAGACACGGCCCAGACUCCUACGGGAGGCAGCAGUGGGGAAUAUUGGACAAUGGGCGAAAGCCUGAUCCAGCAAUGCCGCGUGAGUGAUGAAGGCCUUAGGGUUGUAAAGCUCUUUUACCCGGGAUGAUAAUGACAGUACCGGGAGAAUAAGCUCCGGCUAACUCCGUG
This 433-nucleotide ribosomal RNA is filed under the name uncultured bacterium. RNAcentral's name for it is "partial 16S ribosomal RNA". It matches the Rfam family "Bacterial small subunit ribosomal RNA", at positions 29 to 507 of the family's 1533-position model. The record is from RNAcentral.